CGGGGUGAAGAUAAGACGGAUUAGCGGCGGACGGGUGAGUAACACGUGAGUAACCUGCCUUUUACACAGGGAUAGCCUCGGGAAACCGGGAUUAAAACCUGAUGAAACUAUCAAAUCACAUGAUUAAGAAAGUUAAAACUCCGGUGGUAAAAGAUGGACUCGCGUCCCAUUAGCUAGUUGGUGAAGGUAACGGCCCACCAAGGCAACGAUGGGUAGCCGGCCUGAGAGGGUGAACGGCCACAUUGGAACUGAGAAACGGUCCAAACUCCUACGGGAGGCAGCAGAG
RNAcentral lists this ribosomal RNA (286 nucleotides) under uncultured Peptoniphilus sp. Its description in RNAcentral is "partial 16S ribosomal RNA". It matches the Rfam family "Bacterial small subunit ribosomal RNA", at positions 72 to 354 of the family's 1533-position model. Lineage: Bacteria; Bacillati; Bacillota; Tissierellia; Tissierellales; Peptoniphilaceae. The record is from RNAcentral.